UACGAGCGGCCCAAACGUUAUUCGGAAUUACUGGGCUUAAAGAGUUCGUAGGCGGCGCAGAAAGUAGGGUGUGAAAGCCCUCGGCUUAACCGAGGAAUUGCGCUCUAAACUACUGUGCUUGAGGAACCUAGAGGUGAGCAGAACUGAUGGUGGAGCGGUGAAAUGCGUAGAGAUCGGAAAGAACACCAACGGCGAAAGCACUCUGCUGGGCCGACACUGACACUGAGAGACGAAAGCUAGGGGAGCGAAUGGG
RNAcentral lists this ribosomal RNA (253 nucleotides) under uncultured bacterium. RNAcentral's name for it is "partial 16S ribosomal RNA". It matches the Rfam family "Bacterial small subunit ribosomal RNA", at positions 524 to 776 of the family's 1533-position model. The record is from RNAcentral.